GAUGAAGAACGCAGCAAAAUGCGAUAAGUAAUGUGAAUUGCAGAAUUCAGUGAAUCAUCGAAUCUUUGAACGCACAUUGCGCCCGCCAGUAUUCUGGCGGGCAUGCCUGUUCGAGCGUCAUUUCAACCCUCAAGCCCUCGGGUUUGGUGUUGGGGAUCGGCGAGCCUUUCUGGCAAGCCGGCCCCGAAAUCUAGUGGCUGUCUCGCUGCAGCCUCCAUUGCGUAGUAGUAAAACCCUCGCAACUGGAACGCGGCGCGGCCAAGCCGUUAAACCCCCAACUUCUGAAUGUUGACCUCGGAUCAGGUAGGAAUACCCGCUGAACUUAAGCAUAUCAAUAAGCGGAGGA
This 346-nucleotide unclassified non-coding RNA is filed under the name soil metagenome. Its description in RNAcentral is "partial contains 5.8S ribosomal RNA, internal transcribed spacer 2, and large subunit ribosomal RNA". The stretch from base 1 to 120 matches the Rfam family "5.8S ribosomal RNA", at positions 35 to 154 of the family's 154-position model. The record is from RNAcentral.